Molecule: ribosomal RNA, 744 nt
Filed under: uncultured bacterium
Lineage: Bacteria
Description: bacterial SSU rRNA
Rfam family: Bacterial small subunit ribosomal RNA
Source: RNAcentral
CUACCUCGCCGGAGGGAACAACCCCUCGAAAGAGAGGCUAAUACCCAAAAGGAUCCGCAAGGAUCAGAGUCCGCAAGGGCCUGGCGAGAGGAGUCUGCGGCCCAUCAGCUAGUUGGUGAGGUAAUGGCUCACCAAGGCUACGACGGGUAGGGGGUCUGAGAGGAUGAUCCCCCACACUGGAACUGAAACACGGUCCAGACGCCUACGGGUGGCAGCAGGGAGGAAUAUUGGACAAUGGGGGAAACCCCGAUCCAGCAACGCCGCGUGAGGGAUGAAGGCCUUCGGGUUGUAAACCUCUUUUCAGGGAGACGAGCAAGGACGGUAUCCCUGGAAUAAGUCACGGCUAACUACGUGCCAGCAGCCGCGGUAAUACGUAGGUGGCGAGCGUUAUCCGGAUUUACUGGGCGUAAAGCGCUUGUAGGCGGCUUUGUAAGUUGGGCGUGAAAGCUCCGGGCUUAACUCGGAGAGGCCGUCCAAUACUGCAGGGCUAGAGGAUGUCAGAGGAAGGUGGAAUUCCUGGUGUAGCGGUGAAAUGCGUAGAUAUCAGGAGGAACACCCGUGGCGAAGGCGGCCUUCUGGGGCAUUCCUGACGCUGAGAAGCGAAAGCUAGGGGAGCAAACAGGAUUAGAAACCCUGGUAGUCCUAGCCGUAAACGAUGGAUGCUAGGUGUUGGCGGAUUUAAACCCGUCAGUGCCGAAGCUAACGCGUUAAGCAUCCCGCCUGGGAAGUACGACCGCAAGGUUA